GUAGGGAAUCUUGCGCAAUGGGCGAAAGCCUGACGCAGCGACGCCGCGUGGGGGAUGAAGGCUCUUGGGUCGUAAACCCCUUUCGGCAGGGAAGAAGCGAAAGUGACGGUACCUGCAGAAGAAGCCCCGGCCAACUACGUGCCAGCAGCCGCGGUAACACGUAGGGGGCGAGCGUUGUCCGGAUUCAUUGGGCGUAAAGGGCGCGCAGGCGGCUCGGAAAGUCGGAUGUGAAAACUCGGGGCUCAACCCCGAGCGUGCACCCGAUACUGCCGGGCUUGAGGCAGGUAGGGGAGAUCGGAAUUCCUGGUGUAGCGGUGAAAUGCGCAGAUAUCAGGAGGAACACCGGUGGCGAAGGCGGAUCUCUGGGCCUGUCCUGACGCUGAGGCGCGAAAGCUAGGGGAGCGAACAGGAUUAGAUACCCUGGUAGUCC
This 430-nucleotide ribosomal RNA is filed under the name uncultured bacterium. RNAcentral describes it as "bacterial SSU rRNA". It matches the Rfam family "Bacterial small subunit ribosomal RNA", at positions 354 to 796 of the family's 1533-position model. The record is from RNAcentral.